RNAcentral lists this ribosomal RNA (668 nucleotides) under uncultured bacterium. RNAcentral's name for it is "bacterial SSU rRNA". It matches the Rfam family "Bacterial small subunit ribosomal RNA", at positions 802 to 1482 of the family's 1533-position model. The record is from RNAcentral.
GUAAACGAUGAGAACUAAGUGUUGGGGUUACUCAGUGCUGAAGUUAACGCAUUAAGUUCUCCGCCUGGGGAUUACGACCGCAAGGUUGAAACUCAAAGGAAUUGACGGGUCUCCGCACAAGCGGUGGAGCAUGUUCUUUAAUUCGACGGUACGCGAAGAACCUUACCAGGUCUUGACAUCUCUUGACCGCCCUAGAGAUAGGGUUUCCCUUCGGGGCAAGAUGACAGGUGGUGCAUGGUUGUCGUCAGCUCGUGUCGUGAGAUGUUGGGUUAAGUCCCGCAACGAGCGCAACCCCUAUUGAUAGUUGCUAACAUUAAGUUGAGGACUCUAUCGAGACUGCCAGUGACAAACUGGAGGAAGGUGGGGAUGACGUCAAAUCAUCAUGCCCCUUAUGACCUGGGCUAGAAACGUGCUACAAUGGCCAGUACAAAGAGUUGCCAAAUCGCGAGAUGGAGCUAACCUUUUAAAGCUGGUCUCAGUUCGGAUUGAAGUCUGCAACUCGACUUCAUGAAGUUGGAAUCGCUAGUAAUCGUGGGUCAGAUACCACGGUGAAUACGUUCUCGGAGAUUGUACACACCGCCCGUCAUACCACGAGAGUCUGUAACACCCGAAGUAGGUGGCCUAACUGCUAGAGGGAGCCUCCUAAGGUGGGAUGGAUGAUUGGGGUA